GGAUGUGAGGGUGAUCUGGCUGCGACAUCUGUCACCCCAUUGAUCGCCAGGGUUGAUUCGGCUGAUCUGGCUGGCUAGGUGGGUGUCCCCUUCCUCCCUCACUGCUCCAUGUGUGUCCCUCCUGAAGCUGUGCGCUUGGUCCAAGAGGAAGGCCUUCCCCUAACAGAGACGGACCGGUCUUCAGUCGACAGUAUAAGAGUAGCUGCGUUCCCUGCUAGAACCUCCAAACAAGCUCAAGCAGGUCCUGAGUUCAAUCCCCGGCAGCACAUGUACCAGAGUGAUAUCUGGUUCUUUCUCUCUGCCU
Non-coding RNA from Erinaceus europaeus (western European hedgehog), 304 nucleotides. Lineage: Eukaryota; Metazoa; Chordata; Mammalia; Eulipotyphla; Erinaceidae. The record is from Rfam.